CCUACGGGCGGCAGCAGUGAGGAAUAUUGGUCAAUGGACGAGAGUCUGAACCAGCCAAGUAGCGUGAAGGAUGACUGCCCUAUGGGUUGUAAACUUCUUUUAUAUGGGAAUAAAAUGUUCCACGUGUGGGAUUUUGUAUGUACCAUAUGAAUAAGGAUCGGCUAACUCCGUGCCAGCAGCCGCGGUAAUACGGAGGAUCCGAGCGUUAUCCGGAUUUAUUGGGUUUAAAGGGAGCGUAGGUGGAUUAUUAAGUCAGUUGUGAAAGUUUGCGGCUCAACCGUAAAAUUGCAGUUGAAACUGGCAGUCUUGAGUACAGUAGAGGUGGGCGGAAUUCGUGGUGUAGCGGUGAAAUGCUUAGAUAUCACGAAGAACUCCGAUUGCGAAGGCAGUUCACUGGACUGCAACUGACACUGAGGCUCGAAAGUGUGGGUAUCAAACAGGAUUAGAUACCCCUGUAGUC
Molecule: ribosomal RNA, 460 nt
Filed under: uncultured bacterium
Lineage: Bacteria
Description: partial 16S ribosomal RNA
Rfam family: Bacterial small subunit ribosomal RNA
Source: RNAcentral